Molecule: long non-coding RNA, 194 nt
Filed under: Fukomys damarensis (Damara mole-rat)
Lineage: Eukaryota; Metazoa; Chordata; Mammalia; Rodentia; Bathyergidae
Description: lncRNA (ENSFDAG00000025304.1)
Source: RNAcentral
GGACUUCCAGUUUGAAGCCGCUGUGUUGGUGACACUGGGAGUCCAGGCUCGAGUUUGCAAUAAACUCCUCAUGUAUUUACAUCAGAAGAGUUUCCAGGUGAUCUUCUUGGGGAUUUCACAACUUGGGCACAGCAUCACAUAUGGCAGGUGUGAGUUGAUGAAAAUGGAAAAUGAAUGGCAAAAUCAUCCUUGGC